Molecule: transfer RNA, 74 nt
Filed under: Streptomyces sp. SID5770
Lineage: Bacteria; Bacillati; Actinomycetota; Actinomycetes; Kitasatosporales; Streptomycetaceae
Description: tRNA-Lys
Rfam family: tRNA
About the family: Transfer RNA (tRNA) molecules are approximately 80 nucleotides in length. Their secondary structure includes four short double-helical elements and three loops (D, anti-codon, and T loops).
Source: RNAcentral
GGGGCGGUAGCUCAGUUGGUCAGAGCUGCGGACUUUUAAUCCGUAGGCCGUGGAUUCGAGCCCCACCCGCCCCA